Molecule: ribosomal RNA, 1153 nt
Filed under: uncultured Alphaproteobacteria bacterium
Lineage: Bacteria; Pseudomonadati; Pseudomonadota; Alphaproteobacteria
Description: bacterial SSU rRNA
Rfam family: Bacterial small subunit ribosomal RNA
Source: RNAcentral
CCCGGGGCGGCGGGCUACACAUGCAAGUCGAGCGGUAACAGAUCUAGCUUGCUAGAUGCUGACGAGCGGCGGACGGGUGAGUAAUGCAUAGGAAUCUGCCCGAUAGUGGGGGAUAACCUGGGGAAACCCAGGCUAAUACCGCAUACGUCCUACGGGAGAAAGGGGGCUCCGGCUCCCGCUAUCGGAUGAGCCUAUGUCGGAUUAGCUAGUUGGUGAGGUAACGGCUCACCAAGGCCACGAUCCGUAGCUGGUCUGAGAGGAUGAUCAGCCACAUCGGGACUGAGACACGGCCCAAACUCCUACGGGAGGCAGCAGUGGGGAAUCUUGCACAAUGGGGGAAACCCUGAUGCAGCGAUGCCGCGUGAGUGAAGAAGGCCUUUGGGUUGUAAAGCUCUUUCGUCGGGGAAGAAAAUGACUGUACCCGAAUAAGAAGGUCCGGCUAACUUCGUGCCAGCAGCCGCGGUAAUACGAAGGGACCUAGCGUAGUUCGGAAUUACUGGGCUUAAAGAGCUCGUAGGUGGUAAGAAAAGUUGGUGGUGAAAUCCCAAGGCUUAACCUUGGAACUGCCAUCAAAACUUUUUAACUAGAGUAUGAUAGAGGAAAGUGGAAUUUCUAGUGUAGAGGUGAAAUUCGUAGAUAUUAGAAAGAACACCAAUUGCGAAGGCAACUUUCUGGAUCAUUACUGACACUGAGGAGCGAAAGCAUGGGUAGCGAAGAGGAUUAGAUACCCUCGUAGUCCAUGCCGUAAACGAUGUGUGCUAGACGUUGGAAAUUUAGUUUUCAGUGUCGCAGCAAAAGCGUUAAGCACACCGCCUGGGGAGUACGACCGCAAGGUUAAAACUCAAAUGAAUUGACGGGGACCCGCACAAGUAGUGGAGCAUGUGCUUUAAUUCGAGAUACGCGCAGAAUCUUACCAACACUUGACAUGUUCGUCGCGACUCAUAGAGAUAUGAGUCUUCGGUUCGGCCGACGAAACACAGUGCUGCAUGCUGUCGUCAGCUCGUGUCGUGAGAUGUUGGGUUAAGUCCCGCAACGAGCCGCAACCCUUGUCCUUAGUUGCCAGCCUUAAGGUUGGGCACUCUAAGAGACUGCCGGUGACAACCGAGAAAGUGGGACGACGUCAGUCAUCAUGGCCCUCUACGUGAAGGGAUCA